CCUCUGAACAUUGAUUUGGAGGAUUGUUCCAGGUAGGAUCAACUCCACAGCUGCAGGGGGCAGUAUAAGGAAAAUGUGAAUCCUAAUCUAUCAGGUAGGUAGAUGGGAAGAGGUAUUUAACUAGGUGAUAGUGUGCAGGUGGGGGUUUUGUCUGGCAGUCAUGGUGAGCUGAACAACAAACAUUUCAAUGCUUGGAUGACUUCAGCGACCCCAUUGGUAACGCCCUGAUUUUAAAUUAAAGUGAGGAGGCAGACUCUUGAAAACUCAGAGCACACGUGGAAUGGCUUGAGUAUGUUCCUGUCUGCUCUCCUCGAGAAAAGAGAUAAAAGUGUUAGAGCAAAAGGCAUAUGCAGGCUGUGCUGUGCAGAGAGACGGGAAGCCACAGCGCAGCAUGUUCAGAACAGGAAGUAGGGCCCCUCGUCUGCAGACAGAACUCAGAUGUACAUCAUGCAGGUGUGAGGACAUUUCCAGAAGCAAAGCAGAAGCAAGCAAGAGGCCACGGUGUCUGACACCCACACACUCAACAAGUGUGAAAUGCUACAGACUUGAACUGGUUGGAACCAGCCGGACGGAGUCACAAAAAGGUCACUGGGUCUUCUCUAAAAACAGGAAGCCCACUGUUGGAGGCAUAUGCGGGCGACGCAACAGUUUACCCUAUAAGGAAUUGGACAGCCACCAGCAAAGUGGUUACGUCUGCCCACAGGAGGAGGAACUCAGAGCCGCUGUAAAGACUUCUCCGUAGGAAGUCCCCGGCGCUUUUUCUCUUAUCUGCGGGGGCCCUGUUCUCAGCUGUACUUCUGUGUUUUUCUCUUGCUACUGUCUUAGAACUAUUGUAUCAGGGAAUAAACUUCUAAUCUUUACCGGUUCGACUUAUGGUCAUUUUCUCCUCGACUACUUGAACACGCAAAGGAAAAAGCUGCAAAACGGAAAGAUCUUUUUCCUUCAUGAUUUAAAAAAAAAAGCAAAACAACACAACAUGUGACGCUUUCAGUGAGAAGUGCUUGACACAGCAAAAUACAUAUCAGAUGAAGAAAAAAAUACACGCAAAAAGAACAUGUAUAGUGCCAGACUCCAACCUAGAACCUCUGGAUGUAUAUGCCACUGACUAUUCCACUGAGCUAUCUCCAUUCACAUAAAAACAGCUUGACAUCAGAGAUUCAUUCCAGUGUUUUUUUUCUUUUUGAUACACAACGUUCAUGAUGUGGUGUUUUAUUAGGAAAAACCGAGUUGAAAUGAUCCUGAGCCACAGAAAGUUUUUAAUAGGAAUGAACUGACGCUGAUUCUAAUACAAGCGAAACAAUAGAACUGGUCAGGAAACGUUCAGGAUUCAUUUCACAUUUCUAUUGAAUAGCGCGCCCAACUGUUCAAACACAAGUGACAUCUGAACCGUGGUUCGACCAAACGAAGCAUUUGGCGCGUCAUACAUCAUCAACCACGUGAUCUGGGCUAGUUGACACACACCCCGAAACAUUGUGCCGAAACACCGAAACACUGUUUCAUGAAGGUGAAGCGCCGUGUCAAACGGGCCAUCCCUAAUUUUCAACAAGUGAAAUAGUUAAACCACACAAUAUUUGCAAAAUUUUUAAUAUAACAGUUACUAUAUAACUUUUUAAGGAGAGAAAGGACGACAGCAUUCUUAAAGUGCUCAGGGACUUGACCUGACAGCAAGGACGAGUUAAUUAUUGACAGGACACAGGGACCGAUGGACUGGAAGACAUCUUUGAGCAGAGAUGUAGGCAGCACGUCGAGAGAGCAAGAGGAUGACUUCAUUGUAUCAACUAAUCUGACUAGCUCAGGGAGACAAACAGGUGAGAAUGUGUCUAAAAUCACAAGCCGAGGUGAUCAUCCUUGAGGAAUUUCAAAAUAAAAGAGUUACAAUCACUGCUGGAUGAGAAAUACAUUUACUCUUUAUUUUCUGUCAAUAAAUCAUAUUUAUCAAUAAAUCCUUGAUUGUAAAUGAUGGAUCUAAAGUUGAAAAGAAGUCAAAGUGCUGACUCAGCACAGAUCAAAGGAGACACAGAUGAUUUCCUGGAAUGAAGAAAACAUCAAACAUCAUGAUGUGAUCUGGAACUGAGCUGUUCUUCAGAAGAUCCUCCCAAACAUGGAAACUGUUGCUGCAACACGUGAAGCUUUGCUUCUGUUGCUAGGUAGAUCUGAUGGAUCAGAAGCAGACUUCUGUCAGCUGGAACUGGGGCUUCUUCCAGACCAUGACAUGUUGUUCAAUAAAGUUCAUUCCAAAGCGUGACUGAUUCAUGAAGUGGUUCCUUGAGCCGUGAGUUUUGCCAGCAGCAGGAAUCCCUGAGAGUUAGGAGACAGUUUGUGGAGAGAGUUUGUAGAUUUAGGAGAAACCAACGUUUGAAAUGAAACCAAAGUGUCCUAAAGCAAAAUCACUGAGCACAUCUCAAUGUUCCACAAACAGUCAUUUUCCACAGUGGACCGUCACCACACACUUUACAAGACAGUUUCUCACAACUUUAUGACAACAAAUCCUGAAAUUGUUCCAUUCAAGGAAACAUUGACUAAUAUUUGGAUUGAUGCUGUUUUCCAUCUGUGUUUUCAAACCUGCAUCAAGAAUUAGCUCAUGUUUAUUGAUUCACUUUCUGUGGAAGUUUGUACGGUGGCCCUGAAGUGCAAAUGUGACAGACAGGGCUGUGGGUGGUGGUUUGUCCCUCAUGGUGUUCCAUAGUUUAGCAUUCAUGGCCAGCACCUGUCUGUUGAGCUGUGAUUGGCUCACAAGGCUGAUAAAUAGCAGCAGUAGGAGUUCCAUCUAGAUGCUGGUUUCCUGGUUUGGCCUUGGUAGGUGAGCUUGACAUGUGGACCGGUUUUACUAAAGCUUUUAAUCAUUUGAGUCCUUUUACUAAAGUUUUUAGCAUUUGAGUUUGCAACAUUUUAAAAUUCUAUUUAUAUUAACAGGUGGUGGCAUGAGUUCUGACCCUGGGGCAUGAGAGCAGAGUUGCCACUGCUGUUUUGCUUAGUGUUGUUAGUCAUUGUUUUUUUAAUGUUUUAAUCAAGCUUGACACCCUUGCUUUUAUCCAUUUUUAAACUGUUGUGCUCAUUUUUAGUAACUUGGUGUCUGGACCUGGCUGAAGGUGGCUGCCUCCUCCUUUUAUCCUUAUGGUAGCUGGUACUCCUGGUGAGGGUUUGGAUCAGAUCACAUUU
Molecule: non-coding RNA, 3159 nt
Organism: Oryzias latipes (Japanese medaka)
Lineage: Eukaryota; Metazoa; Chordata; Actinopteri; Beloniformes; Adrianichthyidae
Source: RefSeq, a predicted model, not a curated record